AGCUUUGCGCAGUGGCAGUAUCGUAGCCAAUGAGGUUUAUCCGAGGCGCGAUUAUUGCUAAUUGAAACAUACCACCAGCUGAUGUACAAGCAUUUAAAAAGAUGCUGCAAAAGAGAAGGCAAAAAAUAAUUUUU
Small nuclear RNA from Zalophus californianus (California sea lion), 134 nucleotides. Its record names the gene U4. It matches the Rfam family "U4 spliceosomal RNA". Rfam says of the family: U4 small nuclear RNA (U4 snRNA) is a component of the major U2-dependent spliceosome. The record is from Ensembl. Lineage: Eukaryota; Metazoa; Chordata; Mammalia; Carnivora; Otariidae.